UCCACGCCGUAAACGAUGUCUACUAGUCGUUGGUCCCCUUGAGGGAUCAGUGACGCAGCUAACGCAUUAAGUAGACCGCCUGGGGAGUACGGUCGCAAGACUAAAACUCAAAGGAAUUGACGGGGGCCCGCACAAGCGGUGGAGCAUGUGGUUUAAUUCGAUGCAACGCGAAGAACCUCACCAUCCCUUGACAUCCAGAAAAUUCAGCAGAGAUGCAGAAGUGCCUUCGGGAA
Molecule: ribosomal RNA, 233 nt
Filed under: uncultured bacterium
Lineage: Bacteria
Description: partial 16S ribosomal RNA
Rfam family: Bacterial small subunit ribosomal RNA
Source: RNAcentral